Molecule: ribosomal RNA, 497 nt
Filed under: uncultured bacterium
Lineage: Bacteria
Description: partial 16S ribosomal RNA
Rfam family: Bacterial small subunit ribosomal RNA
Source: RNAcentral
GAUGAACGCUGGCGGCGUGCCUAAUACAUGCAAGUCGAGCGAACGGACGAGAAGCUUGCUUCUCUGAUGUUAGCGGCGGACGGGUGAGUAACACGUGGAUAACCUACCUAUAAGACUGGGAUAACUUCGGGAAACCGGAGCUAAUACCGGAUAAUAUUUUGAACCGCAUGGUUCAAAAGUGAAAGACGGUCUUGCUGUCACUUAUAGAUGGAUCCGCGCUGCAUUAGCUAGUUGGUAAGGUAACGGCUUACCAAGGCAACGAUGCAUAGCCGACCUGAGAGGGUGAUAGGCCACACUGGAACUGAGACACGGUCCAGACUCCUACGGGAGGCAGCAGUAGGGAAUCUUCCGCAAUGGGGGAGAGCCUGACGGAGCAACGCCGCGUGAGUGAUGAAGGUCUUCGGAUCGUAAAACUCUGUUAUUAGGGAAGAACAUAUGUGUAAGUAACUGUGCACAUCUUGACGGUACCUAGUCAGAAAGCCACGGCUAACUACGUG